Molecule: RNA transcript, 2875 nt
Organism: Vigna radiata var. radiata (mung bean)
Lineage: Eukaryota; Viridiplantae; Streptophyta; Magnoliopsida; Fabales; Fabaceae
Gene name: SKP1-like protein 21
Exons: 11
Source: RefSeq, a predicted model, not a curated record
UCAUAGGGGUGCAAGAAGAAAGAGGCUACUUCUCCUUAGUCAUGGAUAUUAAACGACAUACCAAAACCAAACCUAAUCGGGUUCAGUUGCGAACGGUGUCGUUUGCUUCUCCCUAUCGUUCGUAUUCACUUCGCCAUUGACAUUGACAACGAUUCCAACUACAGACCACUAAAGUGAAAAAUUUCUCAGUCACAAAAAUUUCUUAACUCCCUUUUUCUCCUUGUCUAUAUUUCCCUUCGUCUUGUCACUCUGCAAAUCCAUUUCCCAGCUUUCAUCUUGAAUUUGAGACAUCAAUCUGCGCUGUGCUAUUUGGCAAGUUCACACCUAUUUUACUUACUGGUUGACAUUUUGUGAUAGAGAUCUCUGUACCACUGCAGAUUCUACCAUGGAUCUUGUCCAUUUGAAUAAUGUUGCUCGAGUAACAACAUCCUGAUUGAAGAAUUCCUUUGACAGGUGGAAAUAUUAAAUGGUUGUUUGGGUUUGAAGUUUAUUUUUGAAAUCAGGAGUUCCUUGCAUCGUAAAAACACUUCAAGUGUCCCUGUUUGCUUUCCAAAUUGUUCGCAGAUGUCAGAAACUGACUUGGCAGUUAUUAAACCCGAGAUGAUGAAGCCUUAUGUCUGGCUUCAGACUUCAGAUGAUUCGAUCCAACAAGUGGAACAAGAAAUUGCAAUGUUUUGUCCACUUAUAUGUCAAGAAAUAAUACAAAAAGGCAUGGGAUCUUCCAAGAACUGUGCAAUAUGUCUUCCUCAACAAGUCAGUCCUGCCAUGUUGAGCUUAAUUCUUGAUUAUUGUCGUUUUCAUCAAGUACCAGGCCGGUCAAACAAGGAACGUAAAUCUUAUGAUGAGAAAUUUGUUAGGAUAGACACAGAGAGGCUUUGUGAGUUGACAUCUGCUGCAGACAGCCUUCAGUUAAAACCGUUAGUCGAUCUAACCAGCCGUGCACUUGCUCGAAUAAUUGAAGGGAAGACGCCAGAGGAGAUACGUGAUAUAUUUCAUUUGCCAGAUGAUCUUACAGAGGAAGAAAAGCUGGAGCCAUUGAGAAAUAUAACUGCUGACCCAAGGAUCAGGCUUUUGAACCGUUUGUAUGCAAAAAAGAGAAAAGAACUAAAAGAGCGUGAAAGGUUAAAGAAUGUUGAGGUUGAAGAAGAACAUGUAGAUGAUCGUUCAGUUGAUGACUUGUUGUCCUUUAUCAACGGAAAUGAUGGAGAUCCAAAGGGAGUUAAAACUUCAAAGAAUAAAAAGAAGAAUAGGAGGAAAAAAGAGCAACAGAAGAAUUCUUCUUUGAAGGAGGCAUCUGAACUGAACAAGAAGGAGGUAAAUGGUCAUGAUAUCAGACACCAAAGUUCUGAAGCUGAGAUAAUUAGUGAGACCUCGUAUUUACACUGUGCAGAAGAUGAUGGUUUUACUUCUAAGCCUGAGUUUGAUGAUGAUGAGAUUGAUCCCGCUUUAAAGGAAAAAAUUGACAGAGGACAAGGCUGCAGAAUGAUUGAACUUUUUCCUUCUCUUUUUUGGUUUUCAAGAAAUCUAAUAGGAAGAAGCUCAAUUUAGAAAAGCCUUUUAAGAUCUACACCCAUACGCCAAAGAAAUGAAUUGCGUCUAUUCAUAAUUAGCUAUUUCAGGGAGAGGGAAGUCAAUUGAGAAUUCUGUUAUGGCUGGGAAAUCUGAAUUGUGGGAGGAAUCAUGGAAUUGUUAAUUGAUUGGAGUCUUGAGAUCUUCUGAUUUGGGGAUUUUGCACCUGGCGUAUGCAAACAAGGAUGAUGUCAAAGACCUGAUAAUAAAGGAAAAUAUGGGCUAACAAUAUUAUAACUAAUAAUAUCUAACACUGCAUAUAUAUUUGUUUAUUUUUUAAUUGUAGGUAUUAUAGUCAUCUAUGGCUAAGUGAAGAUUGUAAUUGAGUUCCUCCACAUCAACACAUUGAACUUGCUAAAUGCUUUAGGAGAUUAUUUCUCGAUAUGAAUGCAAGAGAUGAGUGGAUAGAGUUUGUUGACUUAUAAUAUGGAAGAGAAUUUUGAGAUGAUACCGGUUCAUUGAGUGAUAGGGGUAACAUGAAUCUAAAAACAAGGAGAGACGAGAUGGCAUCACAUAGAGUGGACGAUUUGGUAGUUCAAAUUCUUUGAAGGAAUACUUCACAAUAUGAAAAGGAGACAAAAUUGUGGGUGGAUGUAGGUGGAGACGAUUUGGGUUCAUUUGAUGAUUAUGCAAUUCUUGAAGUUGCUAAUUUGUCUUAGAUGAACCUAAGCUAGAGGGUGUCUUUCUAUGAUGACAAAAGGCUGAAAUGUCUAAAAUGGAAGAGAUCCUCUUUUCACAUUUUGGAUUCUAGACAAUGAAUUAUAUCCUUUUCUGUUUUAGGCAACAAUGCGUUCAAACUGUUAUAUUUGACUGGGUUUCUUUUAGAUGAUUUGGAAUGUAUUAAAUAAUUCAUAAUGAUGAUCAAUAUGUGUGUGUGCCUGUGUGUGCAUGUGUAUAUAUAUGUAAAUGUAUACCUGUGCUGCCGUGACCUUCAUUUGGGAGAUCACAGGUGUUGCUGUGUUGUGUUCAUGUCUGUGUGCUUCAUAGCUGAUUACCCAAACUAAUGGACUUCCACUUCGAGGUAAAUCUAUAAACCAGGUCUAGAAAAAAAAAAAAAGUAGCAGAUGCUCUCUCUACCAUCCAUCACUGAGCUUAAUACCAUUUCCAUUAGUCUGUGUUGAGUUGAUUUCCGAAACUAAGAGAUGAGGUAUAGAACAUCCUAGGUUGAUUUGCAUCUGUAAUGAAAUACAACCCUAUCCAACUUCCAUGGUGAACUAUGUUUGUUGUGAGGGUUGAUUGUUUUUAAUGGGUGUUUCAUGUUGUCCCCCUUCUUCUGUUUUGAUUUCUAUGUUAACUAAAUUUCAUG